UCCUCGCAUGGGAUAAUUUUUACUUUAUUUUCCCUUUGGAGGUCAGGUUAAAACAUGAUUGUAAUUUGCAUGAUCCAAAAUUCACAUCUUUAAGUAUUCACAAUUUGCAGUGCCCUGAUUGCUUCUAUUUGCU
Molecule: small nucleolar RNA, 133 nt
Filed under: Pongo abelii (Sumatran orangutan)
Lineage: Eukaryota; Metazoa; Chordata; Mammalia; Primates; Hominidae
Source: RNAcentral